This 497-nucleotide ribosomal RNA is filed under the name uncultured bacterium. Its description in RNAcentral is "partial 16S ribosomal RNA". It matches the Rfam family "Bacterial small subunit ribosomal RNA", at positions 28 to 507 of the family's 1533-position model. The record is from RNAcentral.
GAUGAACGCUGGCGGCGUGCCUAAUACAUGCAAGUCGAGCGAACAGACGAGGAGCUUGCUCCUCUGACGUUAGCGGCGGACGGGUGAGUAACACGUGUAUCACCUACCUAUAAGACUGGGAUCACUUCGGGAAACCGGAGCUAAUACCGGAUAAUAUAUUGAACCGCAUGGUUCAAUAGUGAAAGACGGUUUUGCUGUCACUUCUAGCUGGAUCCGCGCCGCAUUAGCUAGUUGGUAAGGUAACGGCUUACCAAGGCAACGAUGCGUAGCCGACCUCAGAGGGUGAUCGGCCACCCUGGAGGUGAGACACGGUCCAGGCGCCUACGGGAGGCAGCAGUAGGGAAUCUGCCGCAAUGGGCGAAAGCCUGGCGGAGUAACGCCGCGUGAGUGAUGAAGGUCUUCGGAGCGUAAAACUCUGUUAUUAGGGAAGAACAAAUGUGUAAGUAACUAUGCACGUCUUGACGGUACCUAAUCAGAAAGCCACGGCUAACUACGUG